This 65-nucleotide transfer RNA is filed under the name Papilio helenus. RNAcentral's name for it is "tRNA-Phe". The record is from RNAcentral. Lineage: Eukaryota; Metazoa; Arthropoda; Insecta; Lepidoptera; Papilionidae.
AUUUAAAUAGCUUAUAUUAGAGCAUAAUAUUGAAGAUAUUAAGGAGAUUAAUAAAUCUUUAAAUA